AGUGAACGCUGGCGGUAAGCCUAACACAUGCAAGUCGAACGGCAGCACAGGAGAGCUUGCUCUCUGGGUGGCGAGUGGCGGACGGGUGAGGAAUACAUCGGAAUCUACUCUGUCGUGGGGGAUAACGUAGGGAAACUUACGCUAAUACCGCAUACGACCUACGGGUGAAAGCAGGGGACCUUCGGGCCUUGCGCGAUUGAAUGAGCCGAGGUCGGAUUAGCUAGUUGGCGGGGUAAAGGCCCACCAAGGCGACGAGCCGUAGCUGGUCUGAGAGGAUGAUCAGCCACACUGGAACUGAGACACGGUCCAGACUCCUACGGGAGGCAGCAGUGGGGAAUAUUGGACAAUAGGCGCAAGCCUGAUCCAGCAAUGCCGCGUGCAGGAUGAAGGCCUUCGGGUUGUAAACUGCUUUUGUACGGAACGAAAAGCCCCGGGUUAAUACCCUGGGGUCAUGACGGUACCGUAAGAAUAAGCACCGGCUAACUACGUGCCAGCAGCCGCCGCCG
RNAcentral lists this ribosomal RNA (506 nucleotides) under uncultured bacterium. Its description in RNAcentral is "partial 16S ribosomal RNA". It matches the Rfam family "Bacterial small subunit ribosomal RNA", at positions 29 to 523 of the family's 1533-position model. The record is from RNAcentral.